Molecule: transfer RNA, 65 nt
Filed under: Brachionus rotundiformis
Lineage: Eukaryota; Metazoa; Rotifera; Eurotatoria; Ploima; Brachionidae
Description: tRNA-Glu
Source: RNAcentral
ACUUACGUAGUAUAUUAUAGUACUUGAUCUUUUCGCGAUCAGAGAAGAGGUAACUUUCGUAAGUU